Molecule: ribosomal RNA, 376 nt
Filed under: uncultured organism
Description: partial 16S ribosomal RNA
Rfam family: Bacterial small subunit ribosomal RNA
Source: RNAcentral
GUAGGUGGCAAGCGUUAUCCGGAAUUAUUGGGGCGUAAAGCGCUCGCAGGCGGUCUCUUAAGUCUGAUGUGAAAGACCCACGGGCUCAACCGUGGGAGGGGUCAUUGGAAACUGGGAGACUUGAGUGCAGAAGAGGAGAGUGGAAUUCCACGUGUAGCGGUGAAAUGCGUAGAGAUGUGGAGGAACACCAGUGGCGAAGGCGACUCUCUGGUCUGUAACUGACGCUGAGGAGCGAAAGCGUGGGGAGCGAACAGGAUUAGAUACCCUGGUAGUCCACGCCGUAAACGAUGAGUGCUAAGUGUUAGAGGGUUUCCGCCCUUUAGUGCUGCAGCAAACGCAUUAAGCACUCCGCCUGGGGAGUACGGUCGCAAGACUG